This 328-nucleotide unclassified non-coding RNA is filed under the name soil metagenome. RNAcentral describes it as "partial contains 5.8S ribosomal RNA, internal transcribed spacer 2, and large subunit ribosomal RNA". The stretch from base 1 to 120 matches the Rfam family "5.8S ribosomal RNA", at positions 35 to 154 of the family's 154-position model. The record is from RNAcentral.
GAUGAAGAACGUAGUGAAAUGCGAUAAGUAAUGUGAAUUGCAGAAUUCAGUGAAUCAUCGAAUCUUUGAACGCACCUUGCGCCCUUUGGUAUUCCGAGGGGCAUGCCUGUUCGAGCGUCAUUAUAACCCCUCAAGCUCAGCUUGGUGUUGGGGCCUGCCGCACGGGCAGCCCUUAAAAUCAGUGGCGGUGCCAUCUGGCUCUAAGCGUAGUAAUUCUUCUCGCUAUAGAGUCCCGGUGGAUGCUUGCCAUUAACCCCCAAUUUUCUAUGGUUGACCUCGGAUCAGGUAGGGAUACCCGCUGAACUUAAGCAUAUCAGUAAGCGGAGGA